ACGCUAGCUACAGGCUUAACACAUGCAAGUCGAGGGGAAACGACAUCGAAAGCUUGCUUUUGAUGGGCGUCGACCGGCGCACGGGUGAGUAACGCGUAUCCAACCUGCCCACCACUUGGGGAUAACCUUGCGAAAGUAAGACUAAUACCCAAUGAUAUCUCUAGAAGACAUCUGAAAGAGAUUAAAGAUUUAUCGGUGAUGGAUGGGGAUGCGUCUGAUUAGCUUGUUGGCGGGGUAACGGCCCACCAAGGCAACGAUCAGUAGGGGUUCUGAGAGGAAGGUCCCCCACAUUGGAACUGAGACACGGUCCAAACUCCUACGGGAGGCAGCAGUGAGGAAUAUUGGUCAAUGGACGAGAGUCUGAACCAGCCAAGUAGCGUGCAGGAUGACGGCCCUAUGGGUUGUAAACUGCUUUUAUAAGGGAAUAAAGUGAGUCUCGUGAGACUUUUUGCAUGUACCUUAUGAAUAAGGACCGGCUAAUUCCGUGCCAGCAGCCGCGGUAAUACGGAAGGUCCGGGCGUUAUCCGGAUUUAUUGGGUUUAAAGGGAGCGUAGGCCGGAGAUUAAGCGUGUUGUGAAAUGUAGACGCUCAACGUCUGCACUGCAGCGCGAACUGGUUUCCUUGAGUACGCACAAAGUGGGCGGAAUUCGUGGUGUAGCGGUGAAAUGCUUAGAUAUCACGAAGAACUCCGAUUGCGAAGGCAGCUCACUGGAGCGCAACUGACGCUGAAGCUCGAAAGUGCGGGUAUCGAACAGGAUUAGAUACCCUGGUAGUCCGCACGGUAAACGAUGGAUGCCCGCUGUUGGCCUGAAUAGGUCAGCGGCCAAGCGAAAGCAUUAAGCAUCCCACCUGGGGAGUACGCCGGCAACGGUGAAAC
RNAcentral lists this ribosomal RNA (877 nucleotides) under uncultured bacterium. RNAcentral describes it as "bacterial SSU rRNA". It matches the Rfam family "Bacterial small subunit ribosomal RNA", at positions 33 to 900 of the family's 1533-position model. The record is from RNAcentral.